Molecule: long non-coding RNA, 580 nt
Organism: Girardinichthys multiradiatus
Lineage: Eukaryota; Metazoa; Chordata; Actinopteri; Cyprinodontiformes; Goodeidae
Exons: 4
Source: RefSeq, a predicted model, not a curated record
CUGCUUUUUCAAACUUUGGGUUCUUAGUCAUUUAAAAACCAAAACAUUGUGAAGUGAAAAACCAAAGACUAACUGUCAUUUAACAUGAAUCAGUUCAUUUUUUGAUUGCCAUGACAACAGGUAACAUCAGACUGGCAUGAUGUUCUUCGAGGUCUUGGUUCGUCUCACCUUGUGUGCGUCACGAUGUCAGUGAGAGCUCCUCCCUCCAGAAACUCCAUGACCACCCAGAGUUCAUCUCCUACCAGAUGGUUUACAAUGUAUGAACAUGUACAAUAACGUAGCCUUGGCCUUCAAUCCCAUCACAGACACCUUCACAGGUACAUUCACCUUCAGUCUGUCAUCUCCAGGUCCAUCUUCUUCACAGCGACCAGUUUUCCUGUGGUCUUCACCGUGGCGAUGCAGACGAUUCCCGUGGACCCCUCACCGAUCUUAAUGUAGUGAUCCAGGGGAGACAUUGAGGAAGUUCUGGCUGUGGCUCAUCCCACCUUUCGUGGCUCUACAGUUGUGAUGACCGUCGCGUCGAUAAAAGGUUUGGGCCUCUUGGCCGUGUCUUCGAUGAGGGACUGCCAUUGGCGAGGCA